RNAcentral lists this ribosomal RNA (1040 nucleotides) under Klebsiella pneumoniae. RNAcentral's name for it is "bacterial SSU rRNA". It matches the Rfam family "Bacterial small subunit ribosomal RNA", at positions 42 to 1069 of the family's 1533-position model. Lineage: Bacteria; Pseudomonadati; Pseudomonadota; Gammaproteobacteria; Enterobacterales; Enterobacteriaceae. The record is from RNAcentral.
GUUCGCGUCUACCAUGCAGUCGAGCGGUAGCACAGAGAGCUUGCUCUCGGGUGACGAGCGGCGGACGGGUGAGUAAUGUCUGGGAAACUGCCUGAUGGAGGGGGAUAACUACUGGAAACGGUAGCUAAUACCGCAUAACGUCGCAAGACCAAAGUGGGGGACCUUCGAGCCUCAUGCCAUUCAGAUGUGCCCAGAUGGGAUUAGCUAGUAGGUGGGGUAACGGCUAACCUAGGCGACGAUCCCUAGCUGGUCUGAGAGGAUGACCAGCCACACUGGAACUGAGACACGGUCCAGACUCCUACGGGAGGCAGCAGUGGGGAAUAUUGCACAAUGGGCGCAAGCCUGAUGCAGCCAUGCCGCGUGUGUGAAGAAGGCCUUCGGGUUGUAAAGCACUUUCAGCGGGGAGGAAGGGCGGUGAAGGUUAAUAACCUCGGCGAUUGACGUUACCCGCAGAAGAAGCACCGGCUAACUCCGUGCCAGCAGCCGCGGUAAUACGGAGGGUGCAAGCGUUAAUCGGAAUUACUGGGCGUAAAGCGCACGCAGGCGGUCUGUCAAGUCGGAUGUGAAAUCCCCGGGCUCAACCUGGGAACUGCAUUCGAAACUGGCAGGCUAGAGUCUUGUAGAGGGGGGUAGAAUUCCAGGUGUAGCGGUGAAAUGCGUAGAGAUCUGGAGGAAUACCGGUGGCGAAGGCGGCCCCCUGGACAAAGACUGACGCUCAGGUGCGAAAGCGUGGGGAGCAAACAGGAUUAGAUACCCUGGUAGUCCACGCCGUAAACGAUGUCGAUUUGGAGGUUGUGCCCUUGAGGCGUGGCUUCAGGAGCUAACGCGUUAAAUCGACCGCCUGGGGGAGUACGGCCGCAAGGUUAAAACUCAAAUGAACUGACCGGGGUCCCGCACAAGCGGUGGACCAUGUGGUGUAAUUCGAUUGCAACGCGAAGAACCUUACCUGGUCUUGACAUCCACAGAACUUACCAGAGAUGGAUUGGUGCCUUCGGGAACUGUGAGACAGGUGCUGCAUGGCUGUCUCAGCACUGUGCUUG